CCUACGGGAGGCAGCAGUGGGGAAUAUUGCACAAUGGGGGAAACCCUGAUGCAGCGACGCCGCGUGAGUGAAGAAGUAUUUCGGUAUGUAAAGCUCUAUCAGCAGGGAAGAAAAUGACGGUACCUGAUCAAGAAUCCCCGGCUAACUACGUGCCAGCAGCCGCGGUAAUACGUAGGCGGCAAGCGUUAUCCGGAUUUACUGGGCGUAAAGGGAGCGUAGACGGCAGGACAAGUCUGGAGUGAAAUGCCGGGGCUUAACCCCGGAACUGCUUUGGAAACUGUGCAGCUAGAGUGCAGGAGAGGUAAGCGGAAUUCCUGGUGUAGCGGUGAAAUGCGUAGAUAUUAGGAAGAACACCGGUGGCGAAGGCAGCUUACUGGACUGUAACUGACGUUGAGGCUCGAAAGCGUGGGGAGCAAACAGGAUUAGAUACCCUUGUAGUC
This 440-nucleotide ribosomal RNA is filed under the name uncultured bacterium. Its description in RNAcentral is "partial 16S ribosomal RNA". It matches the Rfam family "Bacterial small subunit ribosomal RNA", at positions 338 to 795 of the family's 1533-position model. The record is from RNAcentral.